This 253-nucleotide ribosomal RNA is filed under the name uncultured bacterium. RNAcentral describes it as "partial 16S ribosomal RNA". It matches the Rfam family "Bacterial small subunit ribosomal RNA", at positions 524 to 776 of the family's 1533-position model. The record is from RNAcentral.
UACAGAGGUCCCGAGCGUUGUUCGGAGUUACUGGGCGUAAAGAGUGCGUAGGCGGUUUUCUAAGUUUGGUGUGAAAUCUCCCGGCUUAACUGGGAGGGUGCGCCGAAGACUGGAAGACUUGAGUAUGGGAGAGGUAAGCGGAAUUCCUGGUGUAGCGGUGAAAUGCGUAGAUAUCAGGAGGAACACCUGCGGUGUAGACGGCUUACUGGACCAUAACUGACGCUGAGGCACGAAAGCGUGGGUAGCAAACAGG